CCUACGGGGUGCUGCCGUGAGGAAUAUUGGUCAAUGGACGAGAGUCUGAACCAGCCAAGUAGCGUGAAGGAUGACUGCCCUAUGGGUUGUAAACUUCUUUUAUAUGGGAAUAAAAUGUUCCACGUGUGGGUUUUUGUAUGUACCAUAUGAAUAAGGAUCGGCUAACUCCGUGCCAGCAGCCGCGGUAAUACGGAGGAUCCGAGCGUUAUCCGGAUUUAUUGGGUUUAAAGGGAGCGUAGGUGGAUUGUUAAGUCAGUUGUGAAAGUUUGCGACUCAACCGUAAAAUUGCAGUUGAAACUGGCAGUCUUGAGUACAGUAGAGGUGGGCGGAAUUCGUGGUGGAGCGGUGAAAUGCUUAGAUAGCACGAAGAACUCCGAUUGCGAAGGCAGCUCACUGGACUGCAACUGACACUGAGGCUCGAAAGUGUGGGUAUCAAACAGGAUUAGAUACCCGAGUAGUC
RNAcentral lists this ribosomal RNA (460 nucleotides) under uncultured bacterium. RNAcentral describes it as "partial 16S ribosomal RNA". It matches the Rfam family "Bacterial small subunit ribosomal RNA", at positions 338 to 795 of the family's 1533-position model. The record is from RNAcentral.